This 492-nucleotide ribosomal RNA is filed under the name uncultured bacterium. Its description in RNAcentral is "partial 16S ribosomal RNA". It matches the Rfam family "Bacterial small subunit ribosomal RNA", at positions 29 to 507 of the family's 1533-position model. The record is from RNAcentral.
AGUGAACGCUGGCGGUAGGCCUAACACAUGCAAGUCGAACGGCAGCACAGUAAGAGCUUGCUCUUACGGGUGGCGAGUGGCGGACGGGUGAGGAAUACAUCGGAAUCUACUUUUUCGUGGGGGAUAACGUAGGGAAACUUACGCUAAUACCGCAUACGACCUACGGGUGAAAGCAGUGGAUCUUCGGACCUUGCGCGAUUGAAUGAGCCGAUGUCGGAUUAGCUAGUUGGCGGGGUAAAGGCCCACCAAGGCGACGAUCCGUAGCUGGUCUGAGAGGAUGAUCAGCCACACUGGAACUGAGACACGGUCCAGACUCCUACGGGAGGCAGCAGUGGGGAAUAUUGGACAGUGGGCGCAAGCCUGAUCCAGCCAUACCGCGUGGGUGAAGAAGGCCUUCGGGUUGUAAAGCCCUUUUGUUGGGAAAGAAAAGCAGCAGGUUAAUACCCCGCUGUUCUGACGGUACCCAAAGAAUAAGCACCGGCUAACUUCGUG